This is a small nuclear RNA of Suncus etruscus (white-toothed pygmy shrew), 105 nucleotides long. NCBI's taxonomy places the organism in Eukaryota, Metazoa, Chordata, Mammalia, Eulipotyphla, Soricidae. The record is from RefSeq and is a predicted model, not a curated record.
UUGCUUCAACAGCACAUACCCUAAAAUCAGAAUGAUACAGAGAAGAUCAGCCAUAGACACUGCACAAGGAUGAAGUGUUCAUAUAUUUUAGAAUAUAUUAUAUAU